Molecule: long non-coding RNA, 590 nt
Organism: Lemur catta (Ring-tailed lemur)
Lineage: Eukaryota; Metazoa; Chordata; Mammalia; Primates; Lemuridae
Exons: 2
Source: RefSeq, a predicted model, not a curated record
UCUUCCCUUCCAGGGCGGACACGAUCUCUCCCAUCAUCCGCACCAGGUCCUCAUACUUGUACGUGUUGUCCGUGAGCCACACGGCCUCGCGGAUGGUCAGGAUCUCCUUACUGAUGAACCUGGAAGGCCAAGAAGGGGCCUCAGCAGGGCCCAGGUUCUGGGAGGCUUCAAGUGAGAACAUUUGAUGCUCUUGGGGGAGACCUCAUAGCAAAGUGGCCAAGAGCUGGCUCGGCUCAGGUGGCUUUGAAACCUGGCCCACGUGUGACCACAGGCAAACUGCAGUACCUCCGUGCACCCCAGUUUCUUCCUCUUUCAUGAACGGCGUAACAACAGCAUCUGCUUUGGCAGGUGAUGAGAGUUCACUAAGAUGUGUCAGCACUUAGCAUGUGACCCGCCAAGACCCCACCCAGAUGGUUAUUUUCCACCAUUUUUAUAUAUUUCCUUCUGGACUUUUCCAUGCAUUUGUAACAUCACAUGUAUAUGCAUCUGUGACCGAAGUAUGUACACAUUUUUAUCUUUUCUUUGCCCACCUAACAAUAGUGUGUCUCCUCAUGUUAUUAAACAUCUGCUCGAGUGUUUGACCUAUUCUU